Xyrichtys novacula (pearly razorfish) is the source of this 627-nucleotide non-coding RNA. Lineage: Eukaryota; Metazoa; Chordata; Actinopteri; Labriformes; Labridae. The record is from the annotation of a GenBank genome assembly.
AGUUAAAGACGCAAGAAAAAUUGGCAAAGCAAAAAAAUAAAAAAAAACUUUCUGUGAAAAUAAAAGGAUGCAAAAAAAAAAAAAAAAAAAAAAUAGCCACAAUUGAAGUGAGCUGCUGGGGACCAAUAAUGGUGAUGCACCAGUGUUUUACGAUUUAAGCACAGAAGACGAUGGCGAGAAGAUGAGCAAAGAAGUUAGUGGAAAGUUUAUUGUUUAAUUUCUCUUUAGUUCAACUUCAUAUCGACUCAGGCACUACACGGCCUCAUGCGUCUUUAACUUCAAUUGUGGCUAUUUUUUUUUUUAUCUGCACUUUUUCUUUUUUUAUUUGCAACUGGCUUUGGUUUCUUUUUUGCAUAGGUAACUUCCGUUGUGAUUUCUUUUUUUUUUUGGCAGCAGUGGCGGUUCUCGGCCACCGUAGCUAUCUCAUUGAUACCAUAACAUUAACACUGUAUUAAUUAGGGAAACCCAUCGUAGAGUAUUUAUUGAUUGUAUGGCAGGAUUAAAAAUAUACAGUCGAAUAAUGAAUGUUAAAUGACAUUAAACACAUACUGUAGAGAGGUCUUCCCGUGAACGACCACAUGAGGGCGACAUACAACUAUUUACCUUUGUUUCCCAUAAUUCAAUGCG